This 238-nucleotide long non-coding RNA is filed under the name Theobroma cacao (cacao). Its description in RNAcentral is "long non-coding RNA (TCAC_LNC004036)". Lineage: Eukaryota; Viridiplantae; Streptophyta; Magnoliopsida; Malvales; Malvaceae. The record is from RNAcentral.
AAUAUUUAAGAGGAAUUAUAGUCAUCAACAGUUUUAAAAUUCAUUCAUAAACAAACUUCAAUUACAUACUAUGUAUAUAGGCUCCGCAACAAGAUCCCGUCCAAGCACUCAUCGAAAAAAGUGAGAAAAGCACUGAGAUCGGCAGCAACAACGGUCUACGCUCGGCAAAACCAAAACUCCACGCUUGGCAAAUAGGCUCAGAUCUGGUCCAAGAACUCACCAAAAAAGUUACUGUAGA